ACUUUGUUAGGUCAAUCGGUAGAGCGUGAGACUCUUAUAAAUGGAUUUCAAGAUUGCGGGUUCGACCUCCGCGUGGGGCU
This is a non-coding RNA of Sphaerobolus stellatus SS14, 80 nucleotides long. The record is from the annotation of a GenBank genome assembly. NCBI's taxonomy places the organism in Eukaryota, Fungi, Basidiomycota, Agaricomycetes, Geastrales, Sphaerobolaceae.